CACACAGAGCCUGAGAGCCCACGGCGAUUUCCAGGUGGGAACCUGAGGCCAGGCUGAGUCUCGGACAUCGUCAACUUGGUCUGGUGGACGCAGCCGGGGGCAAGACUCAGGAGGAGCCGAGAUGAGGCUCCACCAAGUUUUGGGUCACACACUUCCCUUCUGGGAGCGAGAAUGUUCUGGGGCCAGAAGUUAGUUUACUUUGUUCUUACCGAGUAUGACUAUGGAAUGAGAAAGGACACCCUGUCCCGGAACUGUUUCUCGUGAGGACAGGAAGUCAUGUCUGCCACCAGUGUGGUUUGACACGGGGCUAGGAAAGGAUGUUGGUUUCAGAUUUCCCAGCCAAGACCCCUACACCCCGCGGGGGCUCUCACCACCCACCACCAAAGUCAAGCAAAAUCAAACUUCUUAGAAGAGCGAGGUCAAGGGUGGGGUGCUUUCAAUUAGACUUGUGAAAUCUGGUUUAAGGCACGACUUUCAAGGACAGCAUCUGACGGGGGUUGAGUGAAGUUGGUUACCAUCAGUGGCUGCGUCAAAGCACAGGCUUUGGAGGGGAGCUGUGAGGAUAAACGGCGCCCUGGACAACGCGCAGCGACCUAGUGCGCUCAGGCGGGGUCUCACCCCGACGGCGGCCAGCUGCUUGGCUAACUUAAAUUUCAUGCUUGGAUAAAUGGAUUUGGGGGAAGUUCCUGAAAUAAACAAUCAAGUUAUUUGCAACUUCCUCUUCCUAGACAAGAAUUUCCUGGCAUAGUAAAGGCAUGUGACUGCUGGGUCCCCAGAAGCUGGGUGACUCUCUGUGGUUUGUUUCGGUUCUCUGCUGAGUCGGUCACAUUCUGAGGUCAAAACCUGCCGCAUGUGGAGGAAAGCACCACUCCAUGGAGCUUGCUGGGAGACGUGCUCCAGCAGAACUGGCCGUCCCGAGUCUGCCCGCUGCCACACUCGUGCCCUGGCAACGAGGGGCACAGGCUAGUGUGACAUGUCACAGGGAGGCCUGGGGGUCUUGUCCUCUGCUCCAGUCAUGCUGUCUCAUCUAGAAGCCGUGGAGCUCCCGGCGGGCGGGGCCGGAGCGAUGAGGAGCCCAGGAGGGUCCAGCCCCGGGCAGCCUGCUUGCCAGCAUGGGGCACAGCCAGGAGCUGGGCCUUUCCAGGGGCUUGUCUCGUCGGCUCCUAGCCACAAGAAUCUCCCACCGGAAGGCAGCAAGGCCCGUUCGGGAGGUAGGGGGUCCUCGCGCAGGGGACCACUUCGAAUUAGGUCCGAGGCUCAUGCUUGAAAAUGAACACCAUUGUGAGUAAGAGCCAGAAUGCCACUAACUACAGGAGUCCUGGAAAACGAUGGACUUGGCCUCCAAUAUGGAUCUUCAAGACUUUGCGCUGUAUGGCCAUCGUGUGUGUGUGAGGGUGUUCUGCAUGCUAGUACUUCUGACCUGAUGGUGCUGUGCUCCAAGAAUGUGGUGUGACACGAGCCUGCGACCUCACUUGCUUCUUGCUGUAUGACCACAACCGUCUCACUGGCUUCGGGUGCCACUCGUGGACGUGGGAGGACGUGCGGGGACAGCGGCCCACGUCACAGGCUUGUUCACAUUUUCUGCAACAUCACAAACUGUUUCCUGCUUGACCUAAAUACUGUCAAGGGAAGUGGAGCUCUGUGGAUUGUUGCUUUAUAUAUUUUGAAAGUAUUUUAACAUUAUUUCUAACAUGUUGGUGUUUUGUGCCAAUGUCUAUUCUGCCCCAUAGUUCUCCAGUUCUCUGGGUAGCAGGUGCCCAGCUCUUUUUCCUCAUUCUCUCACACGUAACCUUCCACAGUCAUGUGUUAGGUGUGGUUUUAGUACGCUAUGACAAUCUCUCACAGUGUCCCCAUCUGAAGUCCCCUCAGAGGUGACAUCUGUCGGGCCUCCCUCGUCCACACCUGGCCCAUUUCCCAUCCUCCUACGCGUGCCACUGCAGUUCUGAUUAGAGAUGUGCAAAUGAAGAAUGUGUUUUCAAAGCUUCACGCCCACUAGAGUGGCCAUGAUCAAAAGCAACAACAAAAGCUGGCUGGCGGCCAGGCGAAACGCGCUGUACCUGUGCGCCGCAGGGUGCCGGCUUCUCGCACAGUCACACGUGGAAUCAGCUUAUGGCCCAGUGUUUCCACCGCCAGCUGUGCACCCAGGACAAACGAAAGCAUCUGUGAACGUGGUAGCCUAACUCAUAAGGACCAAAAGGUGGAAAUGGUGUCAACCGAUGAAUGUGUCUGUGCACACGACGGAAUAGUCUACAGCCAUUACCAGGAAGAGAUACACGCUACACAAUACAUGACCCGUGCACACCCACAAAAACACAUAUUGAGUGAUUCCAUUGUUCUGACACGCCUACAACACCCAAGUCCACGGAGGCAGAGCUCCGUGGACGAGUGGCUGUCAGGGGCUGCAGGGGGAGAGAGACUGAGGGGUGACUGCUCACGGGUCCAGGACUCUUUUCGAGAUGAUGGAAAUGUUGUGCAACGACACAGUGGUGACGUACGGUUGCACGGCCCCGUGAAUAUACCAAAGCCCAGUGAAUUGUACCCAUGAAAAGAAUAAACGGCAUGGGAUGUGA
Suricata suricatta (meerkat) is the source of this 2570-nucleotide long non-coding RNA. RefSeq lists it as uncharacterized. Lineage: Eukaryota; Metazoa; Chordata; Mammalia; Carnivora; Herpestidae. The record is from RefSeq and is a predicted model, not a curated record. The transcript is spliced from 2 exons.